This 497-nucleotide ribosomal RNA is filed under the name uncultured bacterium. RNAcentral describes it as "partial 16S ribosomal RNA". It matches the Rfam family "Bacterial small subunit ribosomal RNA", at positions 28 to 507 of the family's 1533-position model. The record is from RNAcentral.
GAUGAACGCUGGCGGCGUGCCUAAUACAUGCAAGUCGAGCGAACAGACGAGGAGCUUGCUCCUCUGACGUUAGCGGCGGACGGGUGAGUAACACGUGGAUAAUCUACCUAUAAGACUGGGAUAACUUCGGGAAACCGGAGCUAAUACCGGAUAACAUGUUGAACCGCAUGGUUCAACAGUGAAAGACGGUCUUGCUGUCACUUAUAGAUGGAUCCGCGCCGCAUUAGCUAGUUGGUAAGGUAACGGCUUACCAAGGCAACGAUGCGUAGCCGACCUGAGAGGGUGAUCGGCCACACUGGAACUGAGACACGGUCCAGACUCCUACGGGAGGCAGCAGUAGGGAAUCUUCCGCAAUGGGCGAAAGCCUGACGGAGCAACGCCGCGUGAGUGAAGAAGGUCUUCGGAUCGUAAAACUCUGUUAUUAGGGAAGAACAAAUGUGUAAGUAACUAUGCACGUCUUGACGGUACCUAAUCAGAAAGCCACGGCUAACUACGUG